Molecule: ribosomal RNA, 497 nt
Filed under: uncultured bacterium
Lineage: Bacteria
Description: partial 16S ribosomal RNA
Rfam family: Bacterial small subunit ribosomal RNA
Source: RNAcentral
GAUGAACGCUGGCGGCGUGCCUAAUACAUGCAAGUCGAGCGAACAGACGAGGAGCUUGCUCCUCUGACGUUAGCGGCGGACGGGUGAGUAACACGUGGAUAACCUACCUAUAAGACUGGGAUAACUUCGGGAAACCGGAGCUACUACCGGAUAAUAUAUUGAACCGCAUGGUUCAAUAGUGAAAGACGGUUUUGCUGUCACUUAUAGAUGGAUCCGCGCCGCAUGAGCUAGUUGGUAAGGUAACGGCUUACCAAGGCGACGAUGCGUAGCCGACCUGAGAGGGUGAUCGGCCACACUGUAACUGAGGCACGGUCCAGACUCCUACGGGAGGCAGCAGUAGGGAAUCUUCCGCAAUGGGCGAAAGCCUGACGGAGCAACACCGCGUGAAUGAUGAAGGUCUUCGGAUCGUAGAGCUCUGUUAUUAGGGAAGAAGAAAUGUGUAAGUAACUAUGCACGUCUUGACGGUACCUAAUCAGAAAGCCACGGCUAACUACGUG